GCUAACUACGUGCCAGCAGCCGCGGUAAAACGUAGGAGACGAGCGUUAUCCGGAUUUACUGGGCGUAAAGCGCGUGCAGGCGGCAUGGCAAGUUGGAUGUGAAAGCUCCCGGCUUAACUGGGAGAGGUCGUUCAAUACUGCCAGGCUUGAGAGUGGUAGAGGGAAGCGGAAUUCCGGGUGUAGUGGUGAAAUGCGUAGAUAUCCGGAGGAACACCAGUGGCGAAAGCGGCUUCCUGGCCCAUUUCUGACGCUCAGACGCGAAAGCUAGGGUAGCAAACGGGAUUAGAUACCCUGGUAGUC
This 300-nucleotide ribosomal RNA is filed under the name uncultured Longilinea sp. Its description in RNAcentral is "bacterial SSU rRNA". It matches the Rfam family "Bacterial small subunit ribosomal RNA", at positions 496 to 795 of the family's 1533-position model. The record is from RNAcentral. Lineage: Bacteria; Bacillati; Chloroflexota; Anaerolineae; Anaerolineales; Anaerolineaceae.